GAUCAUGGCUCAGGAUGAACGCUAGCUACAGGCUUAACACAUGCAAGUCGCGGGGCAGCAGGUACAGAAGCUUGCUUCAGUACGCUGGCGACCGGCGCACGGGUGAGUAACGCGUAUCCAACCUGGCCCAUACCACGGGGACAGCCCGUCGAAAGGCGGAUUAAUACCGUAUGCAGUCAUUAGGGAGCAUUUUUUGAUGACGAAAGGNUUAGGCGGUAUGGGAUGGGGAUGCGU
This 234-nucleotide ribosomal RNA is filed under the name uncultured bacterium. RNAcentral's name for it is "partial 16S ribosomal RNA". It matches the Rfam family "Bacterial small subunit ribosomal RNA", at positions 15 to 236 of the family's 1533-position model. The record is from RNAcentral.